ACGGGGGCCCGCACAAGCGGUGGAGCAUGUGGUUUAAUUCGAUGAUACGCGAGGAACCUUACCUGGGCUCAAAUGUAUGUUGACGUAUUCUGAAAGGGAUACUUCUUCGGACAAUAUACAAGGUGCUGCAUGGUUGUCGUCAGCUCGUGCCGUGAGGUGUCGGGUUAAGUCCCAUAACGAGCGCAACCCCUAUCAUUAGUUGCCAUCAGGUCAAGCUGGGGACUCUAAUGAAACUGCCUACGCAAGUAGUGAGGAAGGUGGGGAUGACGUCAAAUCAGCACGGCCCUUACGUCCAGGGCUACACACGUGCUACAAUGGCCGAUACAGAGGGCAGCUACCUGGUGACAGGAUGCAAAUCUCCAAAGUCGGUCUCAGUUCGGAUCGGAGUCUGCAACCCGACUCCGUGAAGUUGGAUUCGCUAGUAAUCGCGCAUCAGCCAUGGCGCGGUGAAUACGUUCCCGGGCCUU
Molecule: ribosomal RNA, 467 nt
Filed under: uncultured Sphingobacteriales bacterium
Lineage: Bacteria; Pseudomonadati; Bacteroidota; Sphingobacteriia; Sphingobacteriales
Description: bacterial SSU rRNA
Rfam family: Bacterial small subunit ribosomal RNA
Source: RNAcentral